RNAcentral lists this transfer RNA (83 nucleotides) under Streptomyces thermodiastaticus. RNAcentral's name for it is "tRNA-Phe". The record is from RNAcentral. Lineage: Bacteria; Bacillati; Actinomycetota; Actinomycetes; Kitasatosporales; Streptomycetaceae.
CGCGGCGCCGGGCGUCCGGGUCGGUCGCCACGCUGAAGACGUGGCCGACCCGCCCGUGCGGGUUCUCCGCCCGCCCGAUGCGG